GACGAACGCUGGCGGCGUGCUUAACACAUGCAAGUCGAACGGAAAGGCCCUGCUUUUGUGGGGUGCUCGAGUGGCGAACGGGUGAGUAACACGUGAGUAACCUGCCCUUGACUUUGGGAUAACUUCAGGAAACUGGGGCUAAUACCGGAUAGGAGCUCCUGCUGCAUGGUGGGGGUUGGAAAGUUUCGGCGGUUGGGGAUGGACUCGCGGCUUAUCAGCUUGUUGGUGGGGUAGUGGCUUACCAAGGCUUUGACGGGUAGCCGGCCUGAGAGGGUGACCGGCCACAUUGGGACUGAGAUACGGCCCAGACUCCUCCGGGAGGCAGCAGUGGGGAAUAUUGCACAAUGGGCGGAAGCCUGAUGCAGCACCGCCGCGUGCGGGAUGACGGCCUUCGGGUUGUAAACCGCUUUCGCCUGUGACGAAGCGUGAGUGACGGUAAUGGGUAAAGAAGCACCGGCUAACUACGUG
This 468-nucleotide ribosomal RNA is filed under the name uncultured bacterium. RNAcentral's name for it is "partial 16S ribosomal RNA". It matches the Rfam family "Bacterial small subunit ribosomal RNA", at positions 28 to 507 of the family's 1533-position model. The record is from RNAcentral.